RNAcentral lists this long non-coding RNA (200 nucleotides) under Elaeis guineensis (African oil palm). Its description in RNAcentral is "long non-coding RNA (EGUI_LNC025024)". Lineage: Eukaryota; Viridiplantae; Streptophyta; Magnoliopsida; Arecales; Arecaceae. The record is from RNAcentral.
ACUCUAGGUAGAAAUUCUAUAACUGUUGUAGACCUAAUAAUAAGCGAGGUUGCUUUAUUGAAGGAUGUGUAUCUUAAAUUAUAUGUUGGGGUUGGAUGCAUCACAAAAGCCAAAAGAGAAGGUUGAACCAAAGUUACUCUCCUUGUUAGUAGGAUGAGCUGGAAAUAAUGAAAGAUGAGCAUCUCAUACUAGGUCCAACU